Molecule: ribosomal RNA, 443 nt
Filed under: uncultured bacterium
Lineage: Bacteria
Description: partial 16S ribosomal RNA
Rfam family: Bacterial small subunit ribosomal RNA
Source: RNAcentral
CCUACGGGGGGCAGCAGUGGGGAAUAUUGGGCAAUGGGCGCAAGCCUGACCCAGCAACGCCGCGUGAAGGAAGAAGGCUUUCGGGUUGUAAACUUCUUUUCUGAGGGACGAAGAAAGUGAAGGUACCUCAGGAAUAAGCCACGGCUAACUACGUGCCAGCAGCAGCGGUAAUAAGUAGGUGGCAAGCGUUAUGCGGUUUUAGUGGGUGUAAAGGGCGUGUAGGCGGGAAAUCAAGUCAGAUGUGAAAACUCAGGGCUCAACCCUGAGCCUGCAUUUGAAACUGUUUUUCGUGAGUGCUGGAGAGGCAAGCGGAAGUCCGGGUGUAGCGGUGAAAUGCGUAGAUAUACGGAGGAACACCAGUGGCGAAGGUGGAUUGCUGGACAGUAACUGACGCUGAGGCGCGAAAGCGUGGGGAGCAAACAGGAUUAGAUACCCCGGUAGUC